This 119-nucleotide ribosomal RNA is filed under the name Cavia aperea (Brazilian guinea pig). Lineage: Eukaryota; Metazoa; Chordata; Mammalia; Rodentia; Caviidae. The record is from RNAcentral.
GUCUAUGGCCAUACCACCCUGAACGCGUCCGAUCUCGUCUGAUCUCGGAAGCUAAGCAGGGUCGGGCCUGGUUAGUACUUGGAUGGGAGACCACCUGGAACGACCGGGUGUUGUAGGCU